This 786-nucleotide long non-coding RNA is filed under the name Gadus morhua (Atlantic cod). Its description in RNAcentral is "lncRNA (ENSGMOG00000023898.1)". Lineage: Eukaryota; Metazoa; Chordata; Actinopteri; Gadiformes; Gadidae. The record is from RNAcentral.
GUCUCAUUGGCUGUUGGUUUAUCAGCCUGGGCCACCACAACUUUUGGCCCCCAAGGUGUUGGCUCCUCGUGUUUUCUCUGUCCAGAGACAACCCGAGCAGUUGGCUGGUUCACCUUCUACAAUGAGAAACGGCCACUCAUCAACACACAGAGUCUUGUCAUCCCCCUCCGGUUGAGCAAACUGCAAAGACAUACUAUCAUACCAAUGUACAAACCUCAUGAGGAAGGAUCCGCACGGAAGACUGAUCCCAGUCCUCAAGCGCAUCCCAGGACUCAGGUUGGCUGCGCUAUAAACACAUAGGGAGAAUUAGUAUUCAAUAAAUGUGGCCUAACUAAAACAGGCACAUCCCAGGACUCAGGUUGGCUGCGCUAUAAACACAUAGGGGGAAUUAGUAUUCAAUAAAUGUGGCCUAACUAAAACUAAAGCUUUUCAAAAUUGUAUAACUUUUACCUUUCCGCGACGUCCGACGACAGUUUCCUUGAAGGGGUCAAGGGGACGUGGACGUGAAACCUCUCCCUUCACAACCACGGUGGUAGCAAAGGGUCUCACAGUCGGGGGUGACUUGGGAGGAGACACAGGCGGUGGUGUAACAGGCAGAGGUGACUGUAGCUGCUGAAAGGAGAAGUGCCACAGAAGCUUCGCGAGAAGCGGCAUCCCCAGAUCGUCACUCAGGUGGAUCUAUUAUAAUGAGAAGCACGGGUUAUUAUUGAAAUAAACUGCUUUCGCCAUAUAAAAAUGACAUUACAUGAAUUUCUCACGUGCCAAGUUAUAACACGACUUACCCCA